GUCUGCAUUCAAUCCUUAAUCAUUUAUUAAACCUGGGUGAAAUCAUUUCAGUAUUAUAGCUUUGUCAGAAUAUGUGUUGUGUUGGUCCAUUGAACAAUAUGUAUGCUUGACACACCUAUUGCUAUACAGUUAGGCACUUGUCUGUCUAUUGCUUGUGAGUGGAGCUCUCUUAUGACCUGCUAGGAAGAGCCCAUCCUUCCAUACUGGCACCUAGAUAUCUUCCACAUAAUUGGCUGCAGUCACUUUUCCAUCAUUUUCUUUUUAUUUAGACUGGCAUCUGAUCCUUAUGAUGGGACUAAUUAUGUGCUUU
This 310-nucleotide unclassified non-coding RNA is filed under the name Hevea brasiliensis (rubber tree). Lineage: Eukaryota; Viridiplantae; Streptophyta; Magnoliopsida; Malpighiales; Euphorbiaceae. The record is from RNAcentral.